CCCUAGUAACGGCGAGUGAAGCGGCAACAGCUCAAAUUUGAAAUCUGGCUCUUUUAGGGUCCGAGUUGUAAUUUGCAGAGGGCGCUUUGGCGUUGGCAGCGGUCCAAGUUCCUUGGAACAGGACGUCACAGAGGGUGAGAAUCCCGUACGUGGUCGCUGGCCUUCGCCGUGUAAAGCCUCUUCGACGAGUCGAGUUGUUUGGGAAUGCAGCUCUAAAUGGGAGGUAAAUUUCUUCUAAAGCUAAAUACUGGCCAGAGACCGAUAGCGCACAAGUAGAGUGAUCGAAAGAUGAAAAGCACUUUGGAAAGAGAGUCAAAUAGCACGUGAAAUUGUUAAAAGGGAAGCGCUUGCAGCCAGACUUGCCCGUAGUUGCUCAUCCAGGCUUUUGCCUGGUGCAUUCUUCUAUGGGCAGGCCAGCAUCAGUUUGGGCGGUUGGAUAAAGGUCUCUGUCAUGUACCUCCUUUCGGGGAGGCCUUAUAGGGGAGACGACAUGCAACCAGCCUGGACUGAGGUCCGCGCAUUCGCUAGGAUGCUGGCGUAAUGGCUGUAAGCGGCCCGUCUUGAAACACGGACCAAGGAGUCUAACAUCUAUGCGAGUGUUUGGGUGUCAAGCCCGAACGCGCAAUGAAAGUGAACGGAGGUGGGAACCCUUAAGGGUGCACCAUCGACCGAUCCUGAUGUCUUCGGAAGGAUUUGAGUAAGAGCAUAGCUGUUGGGACCCGAAAGAUGGUGAACUAUGCUUGAAUAGGGUGAAGCCAGAGGAAA
Molecule: ribosomal RNA, 765 nt
Filed under: Leptosphaeria ebuli
Lineage: Eukaryota; Fungi; Ascomycota; Dothideomycetes; Pleosporales; Leptosphaeriaceae
Description: eukaryotic LSU rRNA
Rfam family: Eukaryotic large subunit ribosomal RNA
Source: RNAcentral